Long non-coding RNA from Drosophila yakuba, 2919 nucleotides. RefSeq lists it as uncharacterized. The record is from RefSeq and is a predicted model, not a curated record. NCBI's taxonomy places the organism in Eukaryota, Metazoa, Arthropoda, Insecta, Diptera, Drosophilidae. The transcript has 3 exons.
CCCUCCACCAUCCAACCAAGCGCCGAGAUGCGGGAGAGCAGAGCGGUGGUGGUGUCCUGGAAUAUCCUGGCUGAAGACGCGAAGAUAACCGCCGUCUCGUGCGCUGGGGGGUGGAAAGACCGCCGAAAAGUAACCCUGAACAGCCAAGGAUAUAUGCACAUAUACUGUGCCAAAUCGAAGGACUCUGCUCUCCGUCUUUUUCUAUAUAUUUUUUCGUAGACGAUUUAACUUUUUGUUUGGCCAGCAAACGACGCGGGGUGGAAAAGCGCCGGCGGCAAGGAGUUUCCUUCCAUGAAUGAGUGAGUGAAUUUUAGAUGCCGGGGAAAACGCGGAUGUGCUGCAAGCCAACGCGAAAAAAAGGAUGGAAAAUCCACCAAAAAAAAACUAAGUACAGUAAAACUUUCAAUUUUUAUGAGCUAUUAGGGCAGGAAAAACAACUUUUAUUUCCCCGAAAACGAUUUGAUGGACAGUCCAUUAGUAGAGUGUAUUGGAAUUCAAGUGAAACUACGUACGUUUCACUGGAAAAAGAGUUAAGCAUGAUUGAAGUUUCAGCUUUUCGAAUGCUGCAUUAUAGAUGCUUCUUAAUGCCUUAUUUUAGUAUCAUUAUUGUAAUGAUUUCCUUUAUCUCCUUAAAUAUUUAUUUCCCACUAAGUUCAUUCCGCACAAGUACAGUUUGGCCUGUUUAAAAAGUCACUUUCCACUUAAUUUCUUCGCUUUCGUUCCCCCUCUUGGCAUUUCCCCCGAUUUGCAUUUUCCACGCUCUUUAACGCUCAAUUAUAUACAUCGAUUGAAAUGGUUUGCCGAAGGAGAAUUUCAAAUGGCUAUGGAAAUUGGCGACAAGCAGCGCGGCAGGCGAUUAAAAAACAGUUUAUAAAUCAUCGAUGUCAGUGGCAGUUCGUACACUCCUUUUCCCCCUUCGGAUUUUCAUUUUUACUGCGAACAUCUCCUGAAUGGUUAUGUCCUUACAAAUCUGCAUAUGGAUGGCAGAAAAUUACAUACUUAACUGUGGGUUGCCGCAUGCAGUUUCUUAUAAUGGAUUGCAGCUACCCUGCCGGAAGAUCCGAUUCAUUCGGUUCCGUUUCGAUACGACUGCUUUUUCCCCACGGAAAACUCAUUUCAAUCAUUAUUAAAAUUUGCUAUUUACAUUUCUAUUGAAAUGCAUGCAAAUCCGGAAGGGGAAAGCGCAGCUAAGGUACUAAGAAAACAAACCUGAAGAUGGAGUGAAUAGAAUCGGAACUGUUUUUAUUGCCAACGUGAAAAAUUGGGAAAACAUAAAAGUAGCAUAACUUUAACUACCAAGGGUAGUUAACUCGCUACGAUAUCAUUGUCCUGCUCCCAUCUCCCAUUCUAUAUUGUUCCCAGUGCUGGCAAGGAUUCCCCCCCGAAAACACCCAAGUUAAUGUCCUUUGAUCCAUAUGCCGAUCCAUGUGCUUUGUUCGAGCGCAAACUGGAAAUUGAAAUUUGGCAUUCGGGCAAGUAAUAAUAAUAAUGAUGAAAAUAAAAAGAGUCUCGGUAUGCUUUUCAUGCUUAUCUAGGGCAGCGGGUUGUCUUCUUCGCGAGUCCUGUUCUGGAUUCCCUCCAUUGUCUGUCUUACAAAGUUCUGUAAGCAGUUCGAAGCUGGAGUUUUAACUGGGUAUGUGGAGGAAGUGUUGGUAAAGGAUUUCCCCAAUUGAGGAUCAUCUAAGAAAGAAUGUACUUAAGUACAUACAUUAGAAAAGUAUUGGUCUGCAGAGCGAUCUUGUUUUGCCAGGAUUCCCAGUUGAUCCCGUAAGAUCCUUUGACUACGCCACUUGAACUCAGCUUAAACUUCCAUUUAUAAUUAUCCAAUUUUCUCAUAUAGUGAUCCCAUAAUGCUGACUCAUCUCGACACCACUUGAUGCUUCGCACUCUGAACCCGGCGAUGUCAUAACAAGCAUCUAAUUAUACGAAUGACAAAUGAUGCGAGAAAAGUGCAUUUCCCAUCCGGACCUUCUUGAAGAAAACUUUUUGGAAAUUUUGAUGAAUUAACCUUAAUUUCCUGUGUCAGUGGCCGGCGGCGUUUUGAACCCAACACUUUCCAUUUUCUUUAUGCCUCGGGCGGGGGGCUGGAACGAGUUCCUCUCAAUGGAGAAUCCUUUGUCCAAGGAUUUGCACGUGUGCACAAAUUAGCAAAAACUGGUUACAAGGAGUUCGCCUUCUGUUUUCCGAUCGAAAGAAAGCGGAGAAACUGGUUUUUCCAGCGGGGCGCUUUUACACGGCAUUGUUCUAAGAGGAUAAGGUUCGCUAAGCAGGGGGAAAACCAGAUGGUCCAGGAAAAUUAUGAAAAUUCCAUUGUUUUCCUCCGGUUAUUUGUUGGCCUAGCGGGGUGUAUUAGGGGACUUUCCCUCUUUCCUGUUUCUCGAGCAGCUUGAAGUCGGUAAAGUAAUAAUUAAGGAAUUAGUAUAAAGUCGAAGGUACGCUAGUUUUCCCAUUGAAAAACUGGUUGGAAGAUCCAGGAUCGAAAAGCCAGCUUCAACUGGAGUUCCUCCACUCAGAAACUGGAGUUCCUCCACUCAGAAGCUGAAGUUCCUCCACUCAGAAGCUUCCCUAGCAACAAUCCCAGCGAAUGAGUCACUGGGAAUCCCAGAAUUGGAACACGUGGUGCCGAGGAAAUUCCAUCGAAGCAACCGAAUUGAAAUCCCCUUUCCAUUCAACAGGGUUUCGAACAAAGGGAAUUUGAAUAACUUCGCCCAAUGUUGUUCCAGCAUGUAGAGGAAUUAAAAAACGCUUUAAAGAACCCGAAUCACUGUGCCAAAUUUCCACACUGCAAAAAAUGUGUACAAGCCUAAUCAGAUAUUUAUUUAAACAUAACCAUCGAUUGUUUCAGCGAUUGCGUUUGUUAGUCUAAAAUAUUGCAUACUUUUGCUAUUCGUAAGUAUCAAUUUUUUUAUUUAUAUACUA